AUACACAUCCGAUGAGGUACUAAAAAGAAAACGGAAUUUUGCAAUAUUAUUUUAUUCACUUGGUUUUACAUCUUUGCACUUUGAUCGCCUUCAAAGUAUUCUCCAUUUGAAGCAAUGCAUCGGUCCAGAUGCGUUUUCCAUUGUUCGAAGCAGUCCUGAAACUCUCGCGAAGUGAUGCCUUUUAACGUCUCCGUCGUUUUUUUCUUCACCUCUUACACAUCUGCAAAUUCCGUAGCACCAGCUUUUGUCACCA
Long non-coding RNA from Octopus sinensis (East Asian common octopus), 253 nucleotides. RefSeq lists it as uncharacterized. The record is from RefSeq and is a predicted model, not a curated record. The transcript is spliced from 3 exons. Lineage: Eukaryota; Metazoa; Mollusca; Cephalopoda; Octopoda; Octopodidae.